CAGCCGCCGCGGUAAAACCAGCACCUCAAGUGGUCAGGAGGAUUAUUGGGCCUAAAGCAUCCGUAGCCGGUUCUGUAAGUUUCCGGUUAAAUCCACUAGCUCAACUAAUGGGCUGCCGGAAAUACUGCAGAACUAGGGAGUGGGAGAGGUAGACGGUACUCGGGAGGAAGGGGUAAAAUCCUUUGAUCUCUUGAUGACCACCUGUGGCGAAGGCGGUCUACCAGAACACGUUCGACGGUGAGGGAUGAAAGCUGGGGGAGCAAACCGGAUUAGAUACCCGGGUAGUCCCAGCUGUAAACUAUGCAAACUCAGUGAUGCAUUGGCUUAUGGCCAAUGCAGUGCUGCAGGGAAGCCGUUAAGUUUGCCGCCUGGGAAGUACGUACGCAAGUAUGAAACUUAAAGGAAUUGGCGGGGGAGCACCA
This 422-nucleotide ribosomal RNA is filed under the name uncultured archaeon. RNAcentral's name for it is "bacterial SSU rRNA". It matches the Rfam family "Archaeal small subunit ribosomal RNA", at positions 459 to 881 of the family's 1478-position model. The record is from RNAcentral.